UGGGGAAUUUUGGACAAUGGGGGAAACCCUGAUCCAGCCAUCCCGCGUGUGCGAUGAAGGCCUUCGGGUUGUAAAGCACUUUUGGCAGGAAAGAAACGUCAUGGGUUAAUACCCCGUGAAACUGACGGUACCUGCAGAAUAAGCACCGGCUAACUACGUGCCAGCAGCCGCGGUAAUACGUAGGGUGCAAGCGUUAAUCGGAAUUACUGGGCGUAAAGCGUGCGCAGGCGGUUCGGAAAGAAAGAUGUGAAAUCCCAGAGCUCAACUUUGGAACUGCAUUUUUAACUACCGGGCUAGAGUGUGUCAGAGGGAGGUGGAAUUCCGCGUGUAGCAGUGAAAUGCGUAGAUAUGCGGUGGAACACCGAUGGCGAAGGCAGCCUCCUGGGAUAACACUGACGCUCAUGCACGAAAGCGUGGGGAGCAAACAGG
This 429-nucleotide ribosomal RNA is filed under the name Acidobacteriota bacterium. RNAcentral describes it as "Acidobacteria bacterium partial 16S ribosomal RNA". It matches the Rfam family "Bacterial small subunit ribosomal RNA", at positions 355 to 776 of the family's 1533-position model. The record is from RNAcentral. Lineage: Bacteria; Pseudomonadati; Acidobacteriota.